AAAGUAAUAAACAUAAUAUGAUAGGUGAAAAAAAGAGAUAAGAGUUUUUCAAAAGAUAGCAGUACAUUACAGGUGCAUACAUUUGAACGGUUUUUACAAUUAAAAAUGUAUUUGUUUUCUUUAAAUUUUAAAAAAAAAAUAACACACAUAAUAAAUUGUAUUUUAAAACUGAGUGAUGUUAUGAGUACUGAUAUGGGUAAAUCUCAUUUUGGUCUGGAGGAGAAUACAAGAAUGGUUGGAGUGGGUGGUAGUAGUAGCAGAAGUAGUAGUAGCAGAAGUAGUAGUAGUAGUAGUAGUAGCAGUAGUAGUAGUAGCAGUAGCAGUAGUAGUAGUAGCAGUAGUGACAGACGCAUUAAGCAUGAUACAGCAAAAACAUACAACCCACGAAACGAACAAAGUAAUCCCAUUGCAGAUAAACUACUUACAAAUUUUUUUAAAAAAAAUAAAAUAGUCAUAACAUAUAUAAAGGAAUAUUUUUAUUUAUUUGUUUUUUUUCAUAAAAUUAUGAACGGCAAGCACGAAAAUUUAUAUUUGGAUGAACAUGAAAUUAGAUUGUACAAACAGAAAUUAAAACAUUACCAUCUGUUAAAAUCAGGAUGUAUAAAACAAGAAGAAAAUGAUUAUGAAAAAGUGGAUGGUAAACAUGGGAAAUAUGACACAACACAACAUAAACAACUUUGUUUUUUUCCUUUUUUAUACCAAGAAGUGUUUAUUUGUUUAGAUGAUAUGAAUGUUGAAUCUGCAAGACGUAAGCAUGAGAACGCACUAGGAAACGAACAAAGAAAUGCUGACGAAUAUGUACACAUAGUUUAUCCAUAUAUGCUACUACUGUGUGAAUUAUUACGAAUGUACAUGUUCGUUCAUAACAAAGAAUUUACAAAUUGGUUGAAUAAACAUUUUAAUUUUAGUGGUAUUAAAAAUAAGAAUAAUAGAUCAAUAUUUUUGUAUAAUGUUGAAAAUAUUAUGACCAGGUCAGGUAGCUUUGACUCAAAAGAAUGGAACAAAAUAUUUAGUAUGUUUGAAUUUUUUGAUAUAAAUAUAUGUCAAUUUUUUACUAAUUUGUUUGUGUUACUAGAAAAAAACCAUUUUAUUGUAUAUGGCUUAAACGGUCAUCUAUUUUUCAACAACGAGGGUGCUACUCUGUUGAUUCUUUUGUGUAAAAACUCUGGUCCUAAAGUUAAUUCGAAUUUAUGUACACAUUCAUGUAAUGAUAGAAAUACCACUUUAGGUGUAGUUACACAUGUUGCAUCACAUACUAACAUAUACGACGGGUUAGGUACUGACAAACCAAUGAAAGAACAAACAAAAUUACUAAACGAAAAACGAAUCGAAUCAGCUGUAGUUAAGAAUAUGAAAUAUUUUAUGGUAAAAAACAAAUUAGUGUUAAACGAUU
This 1393-nucleotide long non-coding RNA is filed under the name Piliocolobus tephrosceles (Ugandan red Colobus). Its description in RNAcentral is "lncRNA (ENSPTEG00000008507.1)". Lineage: Eukaryota; Metazoa; Chordata; Mammalia; Primates; Cercopithecidae. The record is from RNAcentral.